GUCAAGAUGGCCGAGUUGGUCUAAGGCGCCAGUUUCAGGUACUGGUCUGAAAGGGCGUGGGUUCAAAUCCCACUCUUGACA
Molecule: transfer RNA, 81 nt
Filed under: Triticum aestivum (bread wheat)
Lineage: Eukaryota; Viridiplantae; Streptophyta; Magnoliopsida; Poales; Poaceae
Description: tRNA-Leu (CAG) (tRNA-Leu-CAG-2-1)
Rfam family: tRNA
About the family: Transfer RNA (tRNA) molecules are approximately 80 nucleotides in length. Their secondary structure includes four short double-helical elements and three loops (D, anti-codon, and T loops).
Source: Rfam by way of RNAcentral